This 130-nucleotide microRNA precursor is filed under the name Manihot esculenta (cassava). RNAcentral describes it as "miR482c stem-loop (mes-MIR482c)". Its record names the gene mes-MIR482c. Lineage: Eukaryota; Viridiplantae; Streptophyta; Magnoliopsida; Malpighiales; Euphorbiaceae. The record is from miRBase by way of RNAcentral.
GAGAGGGGUUGCUGGGAGCUAUGGGUAUGGGGGGAUUGGGCAAAAUUGCUUGGCUUUGUUUAUUAGCAGAGGCUAAAGCUGAUUUUUCCCAAGACCUCCCAUACCAGUGGCCUCCAGCUGUUUCCUCCCC